UACAUAUAUGUAAAGAAAAUCGUGACACCUAUUUUCUUAAUGUUAACCUGAACGCGUCUAGCUGUUUUAGCCAUAGAGUUUACCAGCUGUCAUGAAUGACAGUUAUGACAUUGACAUUCAUGAUUGGCAAAAUAUGAAAGGAUUGUUCAUUACUAUAAAAUAGAUUUGAUUGAUUUUCUGUAAAAGAAAUAACAAAACGCUUAAUAGAGGCUUUAAAUGUUGUUUCUUUUGUCUUUACAGAGAAACGCAAUUACGCCUUUGUUAUAUUCACAACAGUGAAAUAUUAUUAUAAAACAACAUUUUCUGCAAAUUAUUUCAAGAAACAUGGAGAAGUUAAGGUUUGAUUUUGUUGUAAAAUCUGCGACAGAUGGAAAAUCAAAUCUCAUGUGUAUAACUUCAAUUGCUACACCGGAUGGAAAGAUUUUUGGACUACCACCGGAAUACCAGCCUGCGCAUAUGCAUUCAGCAAUUACAAAUACUUCCAAUUAUGCGAAAAUACGGAAGUCGUUAACUAAAAGACAUCAAACAAGGAAAAUUUGGAUAACCUUGACGGAAGAGAUAUAAAAGUAUACUUGGAUGAAGAAGAAAACAUACAGUUUAAUGAUAUUUACCUAGAAGAAAUUUUAGAAAAGAGUGUAGAAUCUAUACCGUGUGGCUCAAAUGAAACAAUGGAAAAACUGUUGGAAAAAUUACUUGAUGAGAAACAAAAGAAGUCGGAAACACAAAAUUUAGGAAAAAUUGCGAAGGAUUUUAUGAUUAACAAAUUUACCGGUAGAAAUUCAAAUGCUUACCAGUGGAUUCAAGAUUUUAAUAAAGAAUGUGAACGUUUCCAAAUUAACGAAGACAGGAAAAA
Long non-coding RNA from Cydia pomonella (codling moth), 853 nucleotides. RefSeq lists it as uncharacterized. The record is from RefSeq and is a predicted model, not a curated record. The transcript is spliced from 2 exons. Lineage: Eukaryota; Metazoa; Arthropoda; Insecta; Lepidoptera; Tortricidae.